Molecule: ribosomal RNA, 395 nt
Filed under: uncultured bacterium
Lineage: Bacteria
Description: partial 16S ribosomal RNA
Rfam family: Bacterial small subunit ribosomal RNA
Source: RNAcentral
AUACGUAGGGUGCAAGCGUUAAUCGGAAUUACUGGGCGUAAAGCGUGCGCAGGCGGUUUUGCAAGACAGUGGUGAAAUCCCCGGGCUCAACCUGGGAACUGCCAUUGUGACUGCAAGGCUGGAGUGCGGCAGAGGGGGAUGGAAUUCCGCGUGUAGCAGUGAAAUGCGUAGAUAUGCGGAGGAACACCGAUGGCGAAGGCAAUCCCCUGGGCCUGCACUGACGCUCAUGCACGAAAGCGUGGGGAGCAAACAGGAUUAGAUACCCUGGUAGUCCACGCCCUAAACGAUGUCAACUGGUUGUUGGGGAUUUAUUUUCUCAGUAACGAAGCUAACGCGUGAAGUUGACCGCCUGGGGAGUACGGCCGCAAGGUUAAAACUCAAAGGAAUUGGCGGGG